UGCAAUAACAAACGAAACGGUAUCAACACGUAGCACAUUGGUACAUGAAUUCUUUGUCAAAUUUCAACACCCACAUUAGUCAAGUUUGCCUUUAUCGCCCCUACCCAGGCACAUAUGUAAUAACAAACAUUUCUCGUUAACUUUUUAUUCUAGUGUGUAAAUAAAACAACUCGAAUUAACAAAGGCAGAAAUGUGGACAUUAUGAGCGGGUAGGGAAGCGCAUACACCGAGUCACAAAUAUCAGUGUGGGGUGUGAGAGAGAAGUGUGGGUGUGUUUUGCGCAUUGACGCUGCAUUAUUACCACUCGCUGCCUGUGUUCCCAUGGUUACCUGUGCCUUGGAGAGCAAAGGGCCAAUGGAGACUGGAAGAAGGACUAGGAAGUGAGGAAUAAGAGAAAAAUUGCCGAGAAGGGAGAGUUGGUUCAUAGCCAGGCCAGAGUGAAACGUCGAACGCUGGGUAAAGCUGUCCGGAGUCCCACUUGGUCAGGAUCCUGCCCACACUUGACCUGACCUCACCGGACGAGUUUUAUAAAUGACAUCAUCGUGUUCAUCUGUGGCCGCUGCAGAGUCCUUCGUGCUUCAAUGAGACCUCUGAUAGGACGCCCUGGGAUGUGGCUCAGAAUCUCUUCUCAAGGACUCCAGUGGCGGGGCUGGCGGCUGCACGGAGGAUGGUGGCAAGCAAAAGAUUAACCGAGCCGUGGAGUUUGGUGUCCCUGAGAUUGUUUUGGACAGGAGAACUUCGGAAAAUUAGACAGAAGUAAGAACGCAAAAUUGACUUCAGGUUUUUGAACGAAUAAUUAACGUUUUCAAUGCAAUAUGUGACAAUUUACAUCACUGAUAGGACCAUUGACAGGACACCUCUGCGCCGCACCUUUACUACUUUCAAAAGGCUUUAGUUGAAGUGACACGUAUUCCCAAGAGUGCCACUACGGUUCUAGUGACAGAUCAACAAGAUUUCUACAUUACUAACUGGAGAAACGCUCUUGACAUCCCUGCUAAUCAUCUCUGUGGCCUUUCAAAAUACACUUGGCGAGGGAGCAAAGCGCCUCUCAAUAUAGGCCUAAGGGAAUGGAUUGAAGUUUUUUAAAUAGAACAAUGACAGACUUGAAAAAAAAAAACAA
Scylla paramamosain (green mud crab) is the source of this 1120-nucleotide long non-coding RNA. RefSeq lists it as uncharacterized. The transcript has 4 exons. The record is from RefSeq and is a predicted model, not a curated record. NCBI's taxonomy places the organism in Eukaryota, Metazoa, Arthropoda, Malacostraca, Decapoda, Portunidae.